Long non-coding RNA from Cyprinus carpio (common carp), 737 nucleotides. RefSeq lists it as uncharacterized. The record is from RefSeq and is a predicted model, not a curated record. Lineage: Eukaryota; Metazoa; Chordata; Actinopteri; Cypriniformes; Cyprinidae. The transcript has 2 exons.
CACAGCUUACACGCGGAAUAACUCGCGUCGCGGUGAUUAUCAAAUGUAUAAUAAUCAUACUACAAGUUAUGGAUGACCACCGUCACCGUGGAGAGGACAGGACGCGCAUCUGGUCGUGUACAAGCUUCGGGCAGCGGAUAAGCGCUGAUAAUGCGUCAAAACAACAGAAGGGAGGCUGGAAUAUGAAAUAUUACAGAUGAUUGAGACAGGUAAGAUCUCCCAAUCAUUACACCAAUACAGAAUGGACAUAAAUGAAAUGAUAUGAAGCUGGAGAUUGUGGAUUCUAUUUUAGAUUGUGAUAGACCAGAUUUAUUUAAUAAUUUAAAGCAGUUUGCUAGUUUGCAGUUUGACUUAUCCUCUUUCAAAGACUGUUCUGAAAACACACACACAAAAAAAGCACAUUGUAUUGAGGUGGUUCAUCAUAUGGGAAACAACAUAAAUAAUACUAUUUGUCACAAACAGCAGCUUUUUAUGUCACUUCAAAGGGUUUUCUGUAAAAGGAUAUAAAGAUAUUGCUUUUAUUCUACUAUAUGUGGGUAUGGGUAGACUUCAAAUGUGGGUAGGCGGAAAAUGUAUACAAAAAGGGUAUUAUUCCUCCCUUUAGAUGGAAUAGAAUAACUUUUGCAUAGAUUAUGAUAGAAACAAAUUUCCUUUUUCCUCUAUUAGCUGACAUGUGCUGGAAACAAAUACAAUUGUUUGCAGGAUGCUGGACCUCUCAGAACCUGAGCUAUACAAUU